This 250-nucleotide ribosomal RNA is filed under the name uncultured bacterium. RNAcentral describes it as "partial 16S ribosomal RNA". It matches the Rfam family "Bacterial small subunit ribosomal RNA", at positions 524 to 773 of the family's 1533-position model. The record is from RNAcentral.
UACGGAGGGGGCAAGCGUUGUUCGGAAUUACUGGGCGUAAAGGGCACGUAGGCGGCAAUGCGGGUCAGGUGUGAAAGCCCCGGGCUUAACCUGGGAACUGCACUUGAAACUGCAUUGCUAGAGGACGGAAGAGGAGAAUGGAAUUCCCAGUGUAGAGGUGAAAUUCGUAGAUAUUGGGAAGAACACCAGUGGCGAAGGCGAUUCUCUGGUCCGUAUCUGACGCUGAGGUGCGAAAGCGUGGGGAGCAAAC